This is a long non-coding RNA of Vombatus ursinus (common wombat), 402 nucleotides long. RefSeq lists it as uncharacterized. The transcript is spliced from 3 exons. The record is from RefSeq and is a predicted model, not a curated record. NCBI's taxonomy places the organism in Eukaryota, Metazoa, Chordata, Mammalia, Diprotodontia, Vombatidae.
CCUUUCAAAAGUCAUCUCUAGGGAGGCUGUCCCUCCAGACGUGGCACCUGAAGAUCCUAAGGUGGAGUCUGGAUCAAUUUCUUUUCCUCUAAAGGCACUUGUUGAUAGUUCAUCCUUCUGACAAGAUGUAUGCAUUCCUGGCUCCUUUUUGCUAUAGUGAUUCAACCCUGGCUAUGUGGAAGACAUGGGGAUUCUUAUACACCAGAUGAGGAGAGCCUGAGGAGGAAGCAUCACUUUAUACAGUGGCAAAAGCAAUGAACGAAGCAACAAAGAUCAACAGAUUAGAAGAGAAGAACCAUGAGAGGAUGUCAGGGGUAAGGAUAACAGCGGAUGGAGUGCUGGACCUGGAUUCAGAAAGACUCAUCUUCCUGUGUUCAAAUCCUGCCUCAGACACUUACAAAC